This 892-nucleotide ribosomal RNA is filed under the name Plasmodium vivax (malaria parasite P. vivax). RNAcentral describes it as "SSU rRNA". It matches the Rfam family "Eukaryotic small subunit ribosomal RNA", at positions 697 to 1442 of the family's 1831-position model. The record is from RNAcentral. Lineage: Eukaryota; Apicomplexa; Aconoidasida; Haemosporida; Plasmodiidae.
UAUUAAGUGUUCUUUUAAUUAAAAUGAUUCUUUUAAGGACUUUCUUUGCUUCGGCUUGGAAGUCCUGUUACUUGAGUAAAUUGAGUGUCAAAGCAAACAGAUAUAGCAUGCGCGUUUGAWWCUACAGCAUGGAAUACCAAAUUGAACAAGUCAGAAUUUGUUCUUUUUUCUAUUUUGGCUUAGUUACGAUUAAUAGGAGUAGCUUGGGGGCAUUUGUAUUCAGAUGUCAGAGGUGAAAUUCUUAGAUUUUCUGGAGACAAACAACUGCGAAAGCAUUUGCCUAAAAUACUUCCAUUAAUCAAGAACGAAAGUUAAGGGAGUGAAGACGAUCAGAUACCGUCGUAAUCUUAACCAUAAACUAUGCCGACUAGGCUUUGGAUGAAAGAUUUUAAAAUAAGAAUUUUCUCUUCGGAGUUUAUUCUUAGAUUGCUUCCUUCAGUGCCUUAUGAGAAAUCAAAGUCUUUGGGUUCUGGGGCGAGUAUUCGCGCAAGCGAGAAAGUUAAAAGAAUUGACGGAAGGGCACCACCAGGCGUGGAGCUUGCGGCUUAAUUUGACUCAACACGGGAAAACUCACUAGUUUAAGACAAGAGUAGGAUUGACAGAUUAAUAGCUCUUUCUUGAUUUCUUGGAUGGUGAUGCAUGGCCGUUUUUAGUUCGUGAAUAUGAUUUGUCUGGUUAAUUCCGAUAACGAACGAGAUCUUAACCUGCUAAUUAGCGGCAAAUACGAUAUAUUCUUACGUGGGACUGAAUUCGGUUGAUUUGCUUACUUUGAAGAAAAUAUUGGGAAACGUAACAGUUUCCCUUUCCCUUUUCUACUUAGUUCGCUUUUCAUACUGUUUCUUUUUCGCGUAAGAAUGUAUUUGCUUGAUGUAAAGCUUCUUAGAGGAACGAU